This 3405-nucleotide long non-coding RNA is filed under the name Volvox carteri. Its description in RNAcentral is "long non-coding RNA (VCAR_LNC000662)". Lineage: Eukaryota; Viridiplantae; Chlorophyta; Chlorophyceae; Chlamydomonadales; Volvocaceae. The record is from RNAcentral.
UCUAGUCAACCUUUACUGUUUUGUUUCUGACAUUUACACUUGAAUACCUUCCUGCUUUUCUACAGGGUUUAUCACAUAGUUUACUAAGGCUGUAAUUUCCAACUUCCUUUGUGCACAGAUCUUCAAGAGAGUUCUAGGGUUUUAAUAUCUACUGCUCUCUUUCUUCUUCUUCUUCAUCUACUUCGGGGUUUCCUUCUCCUCAUCAUCUUAGGGUCUUCAUACAAAAGUAAUACCAAGUAAGUAGGAGGGAUCAUGCAGGAUACUAUGUGUCCUUUUCAAGCAGUUCUGAAAGGGGUAUGCAAGAUCAAGAAAUUCUUUAAGGGAGAUCCUAUUUACCUUGGGGAUGUUUUGGUAGGCAUGCAUGUGUUGUAUAAAUGAUGUUUUUACUACUUGGACUAUAACUACUGAUCUUUGUAUGCAGAUGAGUAACCUCUACAUUCCCAAGAAAGGCCUUCAGGUCAUUCCUGUAUUUGCUUAUGGAAACUGCAUUCCUGAGGCAUUUGUUGCUGAAGCAUUGCCAGAACGCCGUGUGGAGAUGGCCAGAAUUGUGAGAAGCUGGGUGGCCAAGGUUGUGGGUCACCCAAAUAUUUUCCAAACCCUGGAUUAGGGUUUAGGGUUUUAGGGUUUUAGGGUUUAGGGUUUAGGGUUUUGGGUUUUAGGGGGUACACUACCGGGGGAAAAAUGGGCCAUUUUCAGAACAGCCGUGCUGUACAUUAUUGUGUGAAGACGUGCAUUCAGCCACGCAUAUUACUAUCUUUUAUGUUUUCUUUUUUUCCUGCAAUCUGCAUUUAAAACCCUGUCAAAGGGACGAUUUGUCCCAUUGAAGUGGAUGAUGUUGUACCAAGCAUGUACAGUAUCCACAACAAUGCAGGAAUCGCAGCUGACGCAUCCAUUUAAGCAGGGAGUGCUGCCCUGCCUGGAAGGUGUGCAAGCAGUAGGAUUCUGAUUGGAGCUGCAAGGGCAAAACCCAUGGAUGCCUUUGCCCGAGAGCUUGAGGCGUGGAUCAUUGCUUUUGGGUUUCUGAGGUGCUUGUACUAUACUAGGCUCUGAUGAUAUAGAAGCAGGUGGCUGGGAUGAGGAGCUGGCUCCCACAUCUGCUUGAGCUACCCACCUGCAGUCCUGGUCCCCAGCUUCCUUCCACGAUGACACCUUGGCUUACACUGUGCCCCCUUCCCUUUUUGGGCGGUGCACCAGCAUGGAGCGCCCAGGGGGCCCCCGCCCUAUAGGAUUGCCCAUGUCCAUGUGGCCAUGUGGCCAUGUGGCCACGUGGCCAUGUGGCCAUGUGGCCAUGUGGCCAUGUGGCCGUGUGGCUGUGUGGCCGUGUGGCUGUGUGGCCAUGUGGCUGUGUGGCCAUGUGGCUGUGUGGCCAUGUGGCUGUGUGGCCAUGUGACCGUGUGGCCAUGUGGCCAUGUGGCUGCGUGGCUGUGUGGCCAUGUGACCGUGUGGCCGUGGGUCCAUAGAAUUGGGAAUUAGUGGUUCCAUUAUGGUGUGGUGCUCCCCUGGGGUGAGAAGGUCCUCUCAUAUUGUUGUAAGAGGGCAUAGGCAGCUGGGUAGGGUGUGGGGCCAUCACUGUGGGUGGAGCUUCCACACCUACGUAUUUUUUUGUGUGGUCCCCACCUUAUGUGCUGUCCACCUUUCAUGGCUAAUUUUUCAUGUCCCCAUCCCUUUGCCCCCUUUUCAUGUCCCCACCCCUAAUAGGCCCUGCCACACCAGGGAGGAGGUGGAGUGCUGUCACUUCUCAAAGUUACAAAGAAACAUAUAAAGGGCAGCAGGCUAGAGCUCUCUCUAGAUCUCUCAUGGGAUGUUGCAACAUCAGCAGACUACACACUACUACACACAGGCCCUCUCCUCCAUGUGAAGCAAUGUCCUCGCAGCAUCCUCCACUUCCUGCACUGUGCUGCCACCCAUACUGGAUCCACGAUACCAGAAAGGAGGAUGCUGGCCCCUGCUGCACAGGAGCCAGGCGGCUGUGUAGCCCACACUCCCAUCCAUGCCUCAGUGUGGCCAUGCCAGUUAAAUUCAGCAUGUCCUCCUAAGCAGAACUUCAUUAAACGCUGAUAUCUGUUAACUGCUACUAACUGUCUGCUAACUGUCUAUUAUCUUCCUCCCAACUGCCUACCACAAUUUGCUUUCAACUGUUGGCCAACUGUUUUGCCAACUAACUGUCUCUGAUCUGUCCGCCAACUGCCUUUGAACUGUGUACUGACUUGACUAUUUGCCAACUGCCAACCCUACAUUUUACUAGUGUCCUGACGACCAGCAAUGUGUGUGCCUGCUAACUUCCUUUUUACUUAGUAAGUGUCCAUAAAGUGUCUGCCGCCACAUCAUCUGCCUGAUUGCCUGCUAACUCCUUAUUAACUACCUUCCAACUGUCUCAUAACUGACUAACGACUAACAAACAACUGUACUAUCAACUCUGUGUUUUAAAACUGACUGUCCACCUGUCAUGUCAGCAACUGCCUGCCACCUGUCUGCCCACUGCCUGCUCAACUGUGUGCCAACUGUCUGCCAACGGUUAUGGGGUCAACUGUCUGCCAAACGCCUACCAACCGUCUGCUAACUGUCCACCAACUGUCCUAAUCACUGUGUUCCAACAGUUGUGUGCCAUCUGUCUUCCCACUGUCUACCUAUGUACCUACAUCCAUCUUUUACAUCUACCUAUCUAACUAUCUAUGCCUACCUAUGGAUGGGUAGUUGCAGACAGACAGACAGACAGACAGACAGACAGACAGACAGACAGAAAUAAAUAAAUAAAUGGAUAAACAAAUGGAUAAACAAAUGAAUAAAUAAAUGAUUAAAUAAAUAAACGAAUAAAUAAAUAAAAACCUAAGACAGACAGACAGACAGACGUCCUUGGUGGAGUCCCAUGGUGGAGUACUCCUCAGGCUACAUCAACGCGUGUGGCACCAGCUCGAGUUUUUCUCUCUCCGUCUCUUCUCUCUCUUCUCUCUUUCUGUCUGUGCGUGUGUCUGUGUGUGUAAACACUCAUGUGUACACACACACACACCAUGUACACACAAGCAGGCGAUGUUGGGGUAACAAGAAAACACACAAACACACACACACACACACACAGGACUGUUGGGGCACAUGGUAGUGUUGGGGUAACGUGAAACACACGCAACCACAGUCCUGAUUGGGCACAUGAUGGGGUUGGGGUAACAUGAAAACAUGCACACACACAGCCACAGAACUAUUCGGGUAUAUGCUGGUGUUGGGGUAACAUACGACACAGAGACACACAGACAGACAGAGGCAGAGACAGAGAGACACACACUCACACACACACACACACAUACACACACACACACACACACACAGAAUCACACAGAAUCACACAGAGUCACACAGAGUCACACACAGUCACACAGAGGCACACACAGAGGCACACACAGAGGCACACAC